AUGCUGACCAAGUUCGAGACCAAGAGCAACCGCGUCAAGGGGCUCGCCUUCCACCCGCGCCGCCCAUGGAUCCUCGCCAGCCUCCACAGCGGGGUCGUCCAGAUGUGGGACUACCGCAUGGGCACCCUCCUCGACCGCUUCGACGAGCACGACGGCCCCGUCCGCGGCGUCCACUUCCACAAGACACAGCCGCUCUUCGUAUCCGGAGGUGACGAUUACAAGAUCAAGGUGUGGAACUACAAAACCCACCGCUGCCUCUUCACGCUCCAUGGCCACCUUGACUACAUCCGCACGGUCCAGUUCCAUGACGAGCACCCGUGGAUCGUCAGUGCCAGUGAUGACCAGACAAUCCGUGUCUGGAACUGGCAGUCACGCACCUGCGUGGCCGUGCUGACGGGGCACAAUCACUAUGUCAUGUGUGCUUCUUUCCAUCCCAAGGAGGACCUGGUCGUGUCAGCCUCUCUGGAUCAGACCGUCCGGGUGUGGGAUAUUGGCGCGCUCAGGAAGAAGUCGUCGUCCCCAGCCGACGACAUCAUGCGUCUCACUCAGAUGAACACUGAUCUGUUUGGAGGCAUUGAUGCUGUGGUCAAGUAUGUCUUGGAGGGUCACGACCGUGGGGUCAACUGGGCAUCGUUUCAUCCCACCCUGCCACUUAUUGUUUCUGGGGCAGACGACCGGCAAGUGAAACUCUGGAGAAUGAAUGAUACAAAGGCAUGGGAGGUUGAUACUCUUAGAGGUCACAUGAACAAUGUCUCCUGUGUAUUGUUCCAUGCGAAGCAGGACAUCAUUGUAUCAAACUCAGAAGACAAGAGCAUCCGUGUUUGGGAUGCCACAAAGAGAACUGGUAUCCAGACAUUCAGGCGGGAGCAUGACCGCUUCUGGGUCCUUGCUGCUCACCCUGAAAUGAAUCUUCUUGCAGCUGGUCAUGAUAGUGGCAUGAUUGUGUUUAAGUUGGAGAGAGAGCGCCCAGCUUUCGCCGUUAGUGGCGAUACAGUGUUCUAUGUGAAGGACCGCUUCCUCCGUUUCUAUGAGUACUCAACCCAGAAGGAGGUCCAGGUGGCUCCGAUAAGAAGGCCUGGGUCAGUCAGCUUGAAUCAGUCACCAAGGACAUUAUCGUAUAGCCCAACUGAGAAUGCUGUCUUGAUCUGCUCUGAUGUGGAUGGGGGCUCAUAUGAGCUUUUCAUUGUUCCUAAAGAUUCUGCUGGCAGGGCUGAUUAUUUGCAGGAUGCAAAGAAGGGAUCUGGUGGUUCUGCAGUUUUCAUAGCCCGGAACAGGUUUGCAGUCCUGGAGAAGAGCAGCAACCAGGUUUUGGUGAAGAGUCUUAAGAAUGAGAUUGUGAAGAAAAGCCCUCUUCCUAUUGGAACUGAUGUUAUUUACUAUGCUGGAACUGGUAACGUAUUGUGCAGAGCUGAAGACAGGGUGGCCAUCUUUGAUCUGCAGCAGCGGCUUGUUCUUGGUGAACUCCAGGCAUCUGCUGUUAAGUAUGUGAUCUGGUCGAAUGAUAUGGAGUCUGUUGCACUACUCAGCAAACAUGCUGUAGUCAUUGCAAACAAGAAGCUUGUCCAUCGCUGCACACUUCACGAAACCAUACGUGUAAAGAGUGGUGCCUGGGAUGAAAAUGGUGUGUUCAUAUAUUCCACUCUGAACCAUAUCAAGUACUGCCUUCCUAAUGGGGACAGUGGCAUUAUCAAAACACUUGAUGUUCCUAUUUACAUAACCAAGGUUGCGGGGAACACCAUUGCCUUUCUGGACCGUGAUGGAAAGAACAAGAUUAUUACAGUUGAUGCUUCUGAAUACAUUUUCAAGCUGGCCCUUCUACGGAAGCGCUACGAUCAUGUUAUGAGUAUGAUUAAGAACUCACAGCUGUGCGGGCAGGCAGUCAUUUCUUAUUUGCAACAGAAAGGGUUUCCAGAAGUUGCUCUCCACUUUGUGAAAGAUGAAAAGACCAGAUUUAACCUGGCUCUUGAAAGCGGGAACAUCCAAAUUGCUGUUGCUUCCGCAAAGGAGCUCGAUGACAAGGAUCACUGGUACAGGUUGGGAAUUGAGGCUCUGAGGCAGGGAAAUGUUGGUAUUGUUGAAUAUGCAUACCAGCGUACAAAGAAUUUUGACAGGCUUGCUUUUCUUUAUCUGCUAACUGGUUACUUGGACAAGGUGGGUUUCAUGUCUAAGAUAGCUGGGCAGAAUAACAAUUUGAUGGGCCAGUUCCACAAUGCAUUGUAUCUUGGAGAUGCUAAGAAAAGAGUCGAGAUCUUGGAGAAUGCAGGACAGCUACCACUAGCAUAUGUGACUGCUGCCACUCAUGGGCUCACUGAAAUUGCCGAUAGGCUUGCUGGUGAGUUAGGAGAAGAUGUACCUUCUCUACCGGAAGGGAAAACAAGAUCACUUUUAAUCCCUCCAGCACCUCUCACAGCUUGUGGUGAUUGGCCAUUGUUGAGGGUGAUGCGUGGUAUUUUUGAGGGUGGACUAGAUGCUACUGGGAGGGCAGAGCAGGAGGAAGAUUAUGAUGAUGCUGGUGGUGAUUGGGGUGAUGAAGACCUGGAAAUUGUUGAUGCAAGUCAUGUGAUAGAAAAUGGAGAUGCUGGCCAUGCUGAUGAAAGUGAAACAAAUGAAGAGGAUGGGGACGAGGAAGGUGGCUGGGACCUCGAAGAUCUGGAAUUGCCACCGGAGGCAGAUACACCGAAAGCUAGAGGUCCGGAACGCUCUGCUUUGUUCGUGGCUCCCACACCAGGCAUGCCUGUCAGUCAAAUCUGGACUCAGAAGUCAUCUCUUGCUGGGGAGCAUGCUGCAGCUGGGAACUUUGACACAGCAAUGCGUCUGCUUAGCCGCCAGUUGGGCAUCAAGAACUUUGCUCCUUUGAAGGCCUUGUUUCUUGAUGCACAUAUGGGCAGUCAUACCUUUCUGCGUGCAUUUGCAAGUGCUCCAGUGAUACCUAUUGCUGUUGAGAAAGGCUGGAGUGAAUCUGCCAGUCCCAAUGUGAGGGGCCCACCUGCACUUGUGUUUAGCUUUGCGCAAAUGGACGACAAGCUGAAGGCUGCAUACAAAGCCACAACCGAGGGCAAGUUCCCAGAGGCACUGAGGCAGUUCCUCAACAUCCUCUACACCAUCCCGCUCCUUGUCGUGGACUCACGGAGAGAGGUCGAUGAAGUUAAGGAGCUUAUCGAGAUAGUGAGGGAGUACGUCCUUGGUCUCAGGAUGGAAGUCAAGAGGAAGGAGCUGAAAAACGACGCCACCCGGCAGCAGGAGCUGGCAGCAUACUUCACCAACUGCAAGCUGCAGAAGGUUCACAUGCGCCUCGUCCUCACCAGCGCCAUGGGCCUCUGCUUCAAGGGUGGGAACUACGCCACCGCGGCAAACUUUGCCCGCAUGCUCCUGGACAACGGCCCGAACGAGGCCCAGGCAAAGAAGGCCCGGCAGGUCCUGCAGGCCUGCGGCGACAGGAAGGACGCCCACCAGCUGAACUACGACUUCAGAAACCCGUUCGUCGUCUGCGGGGCCACCUUCGUCCCGAUCUACCGUGGGCAGAAGGACGUCUCCUGCCCCUACUGCGCGUCCCGGUUCGUGCCCUCGGUCGAGGGUCAGCUGUGCAGCAUAUGCGAGCUCUCGGUGGUCGGGGCGGACGCCUCGGGCCUCCUCUGCUCCCCUACACAAUCGAGAUAA
RNAcentral lists this ribosomal RNA (3657 nucleotides) under Triticum aestivum (bread wheat). RNAcentral describes it as "partial small subunit ribosomal RNA". Lineage: Eukaryota; Viridiplantae; Streptophyta; Magnoliopsida; Poales; Poaceae. The record is from RNAcentral.